GGUUAAGCGACUAAGCGUACACGGUGGAUGCCCUGGCAGUCAGAGGCGAUGAAGGACGUGCUAAUCUGCGAUAAGCGUCGGUAAGGUGAUAUGAACCGUUAUAACCGGCGAUUUCCGAAUGGGGAAACCCAGUGUGUUUCGACACACUAUCAUUAACUGAAUCCAUAGGUUAAUGAGGCGAACCGGGGGAACUGAAACAUCUAAGUACCCCGAGGAAAAGAAAUCAACCGAGAUUCCCCCAGUAGCGGCGAGCGAACGGGGAGCAGCCCAGAGCCUGAAUCAGUGUGUGUGUUAGUGGAAGCGUCUGGAAAGGCGCGCGAUACAGGGUGACAGCCCCGUACACAAAAAUGCACAUGCUGUGAGCUCGAUGAGUAGGGCGGGACACGUGGUAUCCUGUCUGAAUAUGGGGGGACCAUCCUCCAAGGCUAAAUACUCCUGACUGACCGAUAGUGAACCAGUACCGUGAGGGAAAGGCGAAAAGAACCCCGGCGAGGGGAGUGAAAAAGAACCUGAAACCGUGUACGUACAAGCAGUGGGAGCACGCUU
Molecule: ribosomal RNA, 546 nt
Filed under: Escherichia coli
Lineage: Bacteria; Pseudomonadati; Pseudomonadota; Gammaproteobacteria; Enterobacterales; Enterobacteriaceae
Description: partial 23S ribosomal RNA
Rfam family: Bacterial large subunit ribosomal RNA
Source: RNAcentral